CUCAUAAAGCUCCGUCCAAUCGAUUUCCACCUCCUUCCUCUUUUCGCAUCACUGGCCGCUACUGUUAACAACCGAAUCCUCCGUCCGAUCCUCUCCACCGCCAGCUUCUACUCUCACCAUCAUCAACACCAUCCCCUGUUUCUCUACUCAUACGUCGGACAAACGCCACCCAAACAUCAUACUCCCUCCGCUGAGUUUCGUAACUAUCCUCAUCAACAAUCUUUCGCCAUCCACUAUUUUUCUCUCAUUCACUAUCUUCAUACGAUCCAUCACCUUCAUCAAUUUCUCACCAACAAACCUUCCAGCUUAAUCGCUCAACAUUCCACCUUCAGCAAACUCAGAUCCUUUCCGUUGCAACUCCAUCCGCACAGCUCUAGCUUCGAAGAUCGCCCUUCGUCCAGAUUUCCACCGCCAAUACAUUCUCUCUGUUCGUCGCAGAUCCUGCAGAACUCUCUCUCGGCGCAUACGUAUCGAUUUCUGUUAUCUUGCGGUGACACUGAUUCCAACAGUAUCUUAGUUCCAGGCGUUUCAAUCACAAUCGCAGCUUCAGCAUCACGUUCGCGUCGAUUUCGACAUCUCGGUAACGUUCGCGUCGACUUCGACAUCUCGCUUUCGCGAAGUUUUUCGAGUUUCUUACGCGUUGCUAUACAAUGGAGGAUUGUUAUUCGUUCGGUACUUUCUCAUUUACCUUAUUUUUGCAUUGUGUUUCAAUUUCCUUGCCAUGAGAAGUAG
Vicia faba (fava bean) is the source of this 732-nucleotide non-coding RNA. The record is from the annotation of a GenBank genome assembly. Lineage: Eukaryota; Viridiplantae; Streptophyta; Magnoliopsida; Fabales; Fabaceae.